Molecule: long non-coding RNA, 1234 nt
Filed under: Eucalyptus grandis
Lineage: Eukaryota; Viridiplantae; Streptophyta; Magnoliopsida; Myrtales; Myrtaceae
Description: long non-coding RNA (EGRA_LNC005442)
Rfam family: Small nucleolar RNA SNORD14 (bases 664-788)
Source: RNAcentral
UUAUACAUUGGAUUUUGACAUGUCAAUAUGAUUUCGCCGAAAAUUUGUUGUUGAUAGCGAUUCUUUUUGUUGAUGAUGUUCAUCGAUGAUGACAAUUCGAAGGCUUGUUUCUCAAAGAACAUUCGCAGUGGCCGCCUAAGAGCUUUCGCCUUCGCCAGGCUUGAGAGCUGAUGCUGCUAUAUUCCUUCCUUGGAUGUCUGAGACCUUGCCAUCCUGUACUUGCUAUGUUUCAUAACGCAGAUUGCUAUUGCUUCAGAUUAGGAUUUGCUCAGUCUUGUGAUGUGCAUACAAUUAUACAUUGGUUAUUGACAUGUCAUUAUGAUUUUGCUGAAAAUUUGUUGUUGAUAGCGAUUCCUUUCGUUGAUGAUGUUCAUCGAUGAUGACAAUUCGAAGGCUUGUUUCUCAAAGAACAUUCGCAGUGGCCGCCUAAGAGCUUUCGCCUUCGCCAGGCUUGAGAGCUGAUGCUGCUAUAUUCCUUCCUUGGAUGUCUGAGACCUUGCCAUCCUGUACUUGCUAUGUUUCAUAACGUAGAUUGCUAUUGCUUCAGAUUAGGAUUUGCUCAGUCCUGUGAUGUGCAUACAAUUAUACAUUGGUUGUUGACAUGUCAUUAUGAUUUUGCCGAAAAUUUGUUGUUGAUAGCAGAUUCCUUUUGUUGAUGAUGUUCAUCAAUGAUGACAAUUCGAAGGCUUGUUUCUCAAAGAACAUUCGCAGUGGCCGCCUAAGAGCUUUCGCCUUCGCCAGGCUUGAGAGCUGAUGCUGCUAUAUUCCUUCCUUGGAUGUCUGAGACCUUGCCAUCUUGUACUUGCUAUGUUUUAUCACCUAGAUUUCUAUUGCUUCAGAUUAGGAUUUGCUCAGUCUUGUGAUGUGCAUACAAUUAUACAUUGGCUGUCGACAUGUCAUUAUAAUUUCGCGGAAAAUUUGUUGUUGAUAGUGAUUCUUUUGGUGAUGAUAUUCAUUGAUGAUGACAAUUCGAAGGCUUGUUUCUCAAAGAACAUUCGCAGUGGCCGCCUAAGAGCUUUCGCCUUCGCCAGGCUUGAGAGCUAAUGCUGCUAUAAUCCUUCCUUGGAUGUCUGAGACCUUGUCAUCUUGUACUAGAUUUGCUUUGGAUUUGGAUUUGGAUUUGCUCAGUCUUGUGGUGUGCAUACAAUGGCGAAUUGGCUGUUGAUGUGCUGUUACCAUUUCGUGGGAAAGAUGUUGUUAAGAGUGAUUCUUUUUGGUAAUGAUAUUCAUCGAU